GCACAAUGGGCGAAAGCCUCGAUGCAGCCAUGCCGCGUGUAUGAAGAAGGCCUUCGGGUUGUAAAGUACUUUCAGUUGUGAGGAAGGGGGUAACGUUAAUAGCGCUAUCUCUUGACGUUAGCAACAGAAGAAGCACCGGCUAACUCCGUGCCAGCAGCCGCGGUAAUACGGAGGGUGCGAGCGUUAAUCGGAAUUACUGGGCGUAAAGCGCAUGCAGGUGGUUCAUUAAGUCAGAUGUGAAAGCCCGGGGCUCAACCUCGGAACUGCAUUUGAAACUGGUGAACUAGAGUGCUGUAGAGGGGGGUAGAAUUUCAGGUGUAGCGGUGAAAUGCGUAGAGAUCUGAAGGAAUACCAGUGGCGAAGGCGGCCCCCUGGACAGACACUGACACUCAGAUGCGAAGCGUGGGGAGCAAACAGGAUUAGAUACCCUGGUAGUCCACGCCUAAACGUUGUUUACUUGGAGGUUGUGCCCUUGAGCCGUGGCUUUCGGAGCUAACGCGUUAAGUAGACCGCCUGGGGAGUACGGUCGCAAGAUUAAAACUCAAAUGAAUUGACGGGGGCCC
This 563-nucleotide ribosomal RNA is filed under the name uncultured bacterium. RNAcentral describes it as "bacterial SSU rRNA". It matches the Rfam family "Bacterial small subunit ribosomal RNA", at positions 366 to 922 of the family's 1533-position model. The record is from RNAcentral.